Molecule: transfer RNA, 63 nt
Filed under: Chloeia sp. r EEE-2022
Lineage: Eukaryota; Metazoa; Annelida; Polychaeta; Eunicida; Amphinomidae
Description: tRNA-His
Source: RNAcentral
GACAAAGUAGUUUAAAAAAAACCGCGAAUUGUGGUUUCGCAAAUGCUUAUAUAGUCUUUGUCC